Non-coding RNA from Trichonephila clavipes, 66 nucleotides. NCBI's taxonomy places the organism in Eukaryota, Metazoa, Arthropoda, Arachnida, Araneae, Nephilidae. The record is from the annotation of a GenBank genome assembly.
GUAGCGCAAUGAAUAACGCGUUGGACUUCUAAUCCAAAGGACGUGGGUUCAAAUCUCAUGAUUUCU